RNAcentral lists this long non-coding RNA (11171 nucleotides) under Phoenix dactylifera (date palm). Its description in RNAcentral is "long non-coding RNA (PDAC_LNC002327)". The record is from RNAcentral. Lineage: Eukaryota; Viridiplantae; Streptophyta; Magnoliopsida; Arecales; Arecaceae.
AAAAAAAAAAAAAAAGUCUCUUUGUCCCCUAUUUUUCGACCCCUUUUUCAUGUUUUCUCACCAGCCGGUUACUGCCGUUGGCUAUCCACCACCUCCGAUAGUCGACCAUGCCCCUAGGCAUGCUCUUUUGCGAUUCAGGCCUCCCCUUCCGCUUCUAGAAGAGAGGAAGUUUCCCUCUUUCUUUCUUGUUUCUCUCUCCUCUUUCUCUCUCUAAGCAUACCUAUGGAUCCCAUCAUAGUUCUGUCUCUCUUUCCUAUGGAUUCAAGUUGAUCGCAGUAAAGAGGUCCUGAACCACCUCGAUGCCCGAGCAGCCUGCUAGAAUGAUCACCUUGGUUCUUAUGGAGUAUCAUCAAAAUCUACGGUUGAUGAUCGCUAUCAAACAAUCUUGGCUUUGAUCAAGUCCUUGCUUCUGAAUUUAUUGAUUGAAUCGCUUAAAUUUGACCCAUCUGGAGCUGCUAAACACUGUCAACCAGCCAAUUGUUUGUCAUCUUCUUUCUCUUAAAAUUUUAAUACUAACAAAGUUAUUGAAUAGAAAUUAAUUGUACAUUUAUGUCUUUAAAUAAGUUUAACCGAUUCUCCUAGUUAGUUUUGAAGAUUCAAAGUGGAAGAAGUAACUAGAUCUCACACUCAUUAAUUUUUAAAUUGUUACGUACUUUUUAUGCAUAUGGUUUCUCAAUGAAAAUAUCGUAUUUUCUUAAAAUAAAGGGUCGGCAUAUGUAUUAUGAAAAUUAUGCUUUGCUAUGAAAAAUGACUCCAUAAGUAUUUUAAAUAAAAAUAGCUUGUUUAUGCAAUGUGAAUCUUAUUAUGCCAUUUAGUGUUUUACCACUUAUAUAUAUAUAUAUAUAUUUUAAAAGAAGAUAAAAAUAUUUUAAAGGUUUUCAGAAUUAGGAGAGAUUGACAUUCAGAACGAGUUUUAUACGAAUACAAACCUUGCGGAUGGAUAUAAAGUUGGCAUACAAACUAUAAAUCAAAAUACUUUGUUGAUUACAAACACAGGCCCUGUCACUGGUAUAAAGUAACCUUAGCACAAAUAUAUGUGAACAAUGUUUUGAAUUAUGAUAUGGCUAAAUGGCAAUAUAAUUUAUAACUUUAUUUGUGUAAUAGACUUGGAACCAUGCUUAUGAAAUAUUGAUGAUUAAUGCAUGCAUGAUUGAUUAUAACUUGUUUUAUCAGAAUGUACUAUUAAGUAUUUUAUUUUGUAGUGAAAAUUAUUUUCUCUAAAUAAUAUGUUGUUCAUAUAAAAAUUUAUGCUUGAUCUAGUAAGGUAAUGUAAGUUUUACUUACUGAGUUGUGUAGCUCACAUUUUUCUUCAUUUUCUCUUUUUUCAGAUAAAUAGGAUGAUUAGGAAUGAAGAACACUCCAGGCUUGGAGUUCAUGCUACCAAUCUUGAAGUUUUUUAUAGCAAAAAUUUUAGUGAUUAUGAAUUGACUUUAUGAAUUUUAAGUUGGAGGUUUUGAUAUUUAAAUUUGGAUUUAGACUCUCUGAAUAAGCACUUAUUUAUUUAUUUAAUGGAUGAUAGAUUUAGAUCCUUUUAUUAUAUUUUAUUUGAGAUGGUUUUGUAUAUAGAUUAUGAUUGUUGGCUUCAUACUUUUAUGGGUUGUACCCCUCGAUAGUAUUGUCAUAUUAUGUCCAUGAUUUGUAGCAUGAUAGGUUGGCCAUGCAUAUGGCAUGCACGAUGCAUACGUGCGCAUGACUAUCAUGUUUCGCCACAUGCCUCAGCUAAAUUAAAUUUGAAAUUGGAUUCAUAAUAUAACCUAUAACUUCAUAAUCAUAAACAUCACAAAUUUCAAAUUGGCUAGUGUUAAAUGGAUUUAAUUUGAAUUUGAAAUUUAAACUCUUGACUGACCUAUGCAUGUGCUGUUGGGCUAUUGUGAGGCACCAACACUAGCGGUCCAUUUAGAUUUUUUAUUGAGAGAGUCAUUGAGGCCUUUAUGAGCCUCUCCAGGAGUUACCCUAACCGAGCCUAAAAAUAGCUCCAAAUCUUGGAUCUCAAAAUAAAAAAUCUAGAUCAGGACUUGUAUUGCUGCUCUGAGAUUGAGAAGGAGGGAGAGGGGGAGAGAGAGAGAGAGAGAGAGAGCGCUUCCAUUAGCCUUCUUUUUCUUCUUCAAAUUUUCCACUCGAUUUCUUUCUUUUUUCAAUUUUUCUUAAAACUUUUCUGUUUUUCUUUUCGAAAACUGAAAGAGUCUAUUAGAUCAGAACUCCAAGUGAUUAUACGCCUUUAGACCGAGUUGGGUUCAUUGUACCUUAGGACGAUCUUGCCGUAAACUUGCACGACUGGACAAAUUCUGUUCUUAGGCUGCUAUCUUUACGUGCCAUAUUCCAGACAUACCUUCUUCCAAUUAAUCUAGCAAUCUAUCUUAUUAUUAAAUUUUAAAAUUAUUUAUAAAUUUUGUUUUAUGCCAAAAAUUCCGUGGGGACUAGCAACCAACAUAGAUAUAUUAAUGGCGUUAUAAAAUAUUUUGAGACUUAACAUAAAAAAUGCUUUGCAAAAAGAAAUAGAUUAAAAUGAUUGCUAUGACCAUUUAUUGAAUUGAUUUAUAGGAUUAUUAUAUAAACCUGAUUGCAGUUUUGCCGAAAAAUUUGGAUCUUCACUCCACCAGCAAGAUUUCUGAAUCUAAGUACAUGUAACUUUCUUGAGAGAUCCUAAAAAUUUGGAUCCUCACUCCACCAGAAAGAGUGUUUUUUUCAUUCUUCUUUGGCUAAUUUAUAAGUCUCAACUAUGGUUUAGCAAGCAGAAGUUUUUUUCUUCUUCUUCUUCUUUUUCUGCUAAUAGAACUCCACUUGCAAUACGUGAUGUAUUUCGAUACUCAAGUCUGCAUUCAUAUGCUAACUUGCUAAGUAGAACAUGGAAAAGUUAAGGUGGAGCUUAUGUGAAUCUCGAAUUAACAUGCAUCAAGUAAUAUCGGCCAAGCACAGACUUAAAAAUUGAUCGACCUUUUUUUCUCUUCUUGAUGUAAUCCUGCAUAAACCACUUCAAGUCAUGUGCCUUCUUCGGAUUUUCGAUUUCAUAACCUUUAGUGCAUGCACAAUAUAGGUGCAUGGUUCAAAAUUUUUUUUCUUUUUCCUUUUUUAGUCAGGUGGAUAAUUUAUACGAUCCUCAUGUAGACAUAUCUAUUUCGCCUGGAAUCCUUGUGUAGACACAUUCAUUCGAUAUUUUCCAUUACUAACGCACUUGAUUUGCCAGUGAAUGUAAACUUUAGUGGCUCCAACUGGUCAAUAAUGCCAUAUAAUUGGCUUAAGUAAUAUAGAGAAUAUCAUUUAGAUAAAUCUACUUAAAAAAAAUUUGCUAGCUUUGUCUAUUAGCUCAAUUUACCUAUCCAUUGGCUCCAUCAAUUGUCCAAUUAAAACCUAGCUUGGAACGACCAGUCUGUGCUCAUUCCAUCAAGCUUAUGUUUUAACAUACUCGUGCAUUUGGAUGGGAUUACCUUUAAAACUUAGGAAAAAGUCCUUGCUUUCCUAAGCAUUAUAUCCCCAAGGGGCAGCCCAAGAGCCACGUUGAGCCAUGUCUAGGUAAUACUACAAUUUAAACAUUUUUUGAAAAAUCUUUGGAUUCACUUGAGUUAAUUUUUUUUCCUCCCUAGUUCUUAAAAAAAAUUGAGGGAGAAAAUCUUGCAUCUCAAAAGAUGUUUCAAGAGAAAAACGUAAAUAUGUUGUGACACAAUGAGUGAUAGCGUCAAUAGCCCAUGCUGCAAACCCAAAGGAUAUUACCAAGCCUCGUGUCGUAGAACAUAAAAGAUCUAUUACCUUUUUUAGUAAGUUACAAUACUUCAUUAGCAUUUACGUUUAUUACACGUAGAUUCAAUAGUUUGUAAAGCCUACACUUACAUCCAGAUAAAUUAACAGCGUUAAUGAAACCGUUUACCUUAUAUGAAAAGUCGACAUUGCUCGUGGGUAGAAAGAAUAAUGCACAUAUUUUCUUAUAUCGUUAGGUGGUUCUUACGUCACUUAAGAUUAUUUUGGUUAUUUUUUAAAAAUUUUUUAUAGUAUUUAGGUCCUAUUUAAAGUUAAUAGCAUGACGAACAUUCUGCUAAGUUAUGGAUUAAAACAUUAGAUAAAAAUACAUUUCAAAAGGCAAGCAUAGAUUUUUCACACCGUUAAAUGUAAGCAUAAUUUAUCUCUAAAUUUACAGGAAGUUACGUAAUUUUUUUUCUUCUCUCUCUCUCUCUCCCUUUUUCCUGAAUCUUAGUUAAACCAAAUUCAAUGGAAAAUUUUGGUAACUAGAAGAUGUUUUAUAUUUUGUCUUGUGUAGAAAAGUAAUUUCCUAGUUUUGACGUUCUAUAUAUUCUUGUACUUGAAUCUGCUGCUUUUACAUCAUGUAUCAGAAUCCAACUGCCGACGUCCGUGCAGCACUAGAAAAGCAGCUCCAAGUAAAUUUACCGUUUGACGGAAACAUUGGACCCUUUGUGUGUCAAAGAACAACACUAACAUCAAACACUAUACUUGAUUCCAAUUGCAUGAGUGCUAUAGAUUUGUCCAUGCUUAGAUGCAAGGUCACAUUACGUGAAUCAGAUUCUUUUUUUUUCUUUUUCUUCCUAAUCUACUCAAUUUUGUUAAAGUUUAUCCUUCCAACCCAGUGCGAGAAGUGCAAAUCCCACUUGGAUCCUUAACAGGGCAAAAGAAAUUCUUGGAGAAUAUUCUUGUUAGCUUUUGAUGAACACCACUUCUAGUGAGCCAUGAAUAUGGAUGCCAGAGGCUUAUUUGAAUCCAAGAAGGAAAGAAUGAAGGAAUGCUUGCAAGUCGUGAUACGCCAAUAAAGGUUAUGCAUUCCUGACUGUAGGUGAUGAUCCCCCAUAGAUGGAUAUUUUUUUUUAAAAAAAAAAUGGAUUGAGCCCUAGAGAUAGUUUGAAGAUGAUGGUGGUGCCAGAUCAUACUAAAAAAAUUGAUGACGGCGGCGGUGAUGAUAUAGAAAAUCUCUUAAAAUAUCAUUAGAUUUAAACAUUUGGAAUUUGGACUAGAUCUUUCUUCCCUAGUGCAGGAGUGUGCGCGGAUUGUCGUAUAUAAUCUUAUAUAAAUAAAUCCUCAUGCUCUUGCAUAUAGCAGUGGCGGAGGAUGUAUGUAUUUGUCAAUAUUUUUAAGGAGAAAAUUAAACAUUCUUUGCCAUGGCAGUAUUGUAAAUUAUGUCAUCAUGAAUCCAAGAUCCUACACUUUAUAAUAAAUAAAGGAAGCAUUCAAAAUUCUCUUCAAGAGGUUUAGAUCGAUUACCAAUCUUUGGAGAAAGCAUAAUUCUUAAUUAUGAAAGCGACAAAAGUCUCUCCCUUACAAGUAGGCUAUAUUGAUGCAUUAAUUCAACAUAAAAUAUAAUAAUAAAUAAAGAAAAAUAUAUUUGUCAAACUUGGAUUUAAAUGGUCUAUCAUUUAAGAUAAAUUAUUUUAUUUAGUAUGAUGUUUAUCUCUGGAAGACUUUUUUUUUUUAAAAAAAAAAAACUUUGGCAAUUAUCCUCUUGUUGAAUCUAUUACUUUGGUACCGUCUAUCAAGAUCCAAUCCUUGUGUCAGCAUCCAUAGAUGCCGCACCAAGACCCAAACAUAGACAUAUCUUACCAAGUAACAUCAAAUAUCAAUGCUACACCAAUUGCAUGCUUCAUGGCUUGCAAUUAUAGAUACAGCUAGGCCUUUUAGGAAUCAAAUUCUAUCUUUUCCUCCCAAAUAAUUCAAUAUGCUUUAUUAUAGUGCCUGCAAAUUUGAUCACCUUUUUCUUGCAGGCUUACCCUUCCACCCCAAUAGGAAUGUCUACAGUGCACACCCCAUUUCCUUGAAUCCUUGAUGACGCAAAGAUAAUUCGUCAUACACAUCACGUCUUCGCGACCCUUGCAUCUAAAGAAUAAUACUUUAAAUAAUACUCAAAUAUCGAAUAAGUUAAAGACUUGUGGUGCUUAUAUACUCUUGGACCCAUCUAUUUAAAUAAUCUAGAUUUUUAGAUGGGACCUCAGAGCCCACCGAUUCUUUUUGUCUACCGAAGCCUCUAUACUCUCACUUGAUAAUCCACAAAUUCCAUCCCUCAGGCUUUACAUGUAAGAAGAGUGCUCAAGAAUAAUAGUUCCAUAUCGAAUAGGUUAGGAAUCUUGUGGUGCGGAGAUACUCUUGGGCCCAUCCAUUUAAACACUUGGGUUUUAGAUACGAUGUUAACAUGUUACAUGUUGUUGAAAAGCUUAUUCUUAGCUGUACAUGUAUCUGGAAAAGAAUACAAAAGACAGAGGUUUCAUGAAUCAAGGAUGGUAUGGGGGAAGGAAUAUUUUGCAAGUCAGAGAAUGGAAAAGAAAAAAAAAGAUUACAUUCGUGGGGGCUGAGUUAGUGGAUUUGAGAAGGUAGAAGGUAGGUACAAGCAUAUAGAAACAGAAGGCUACGGACUAAAAGAAUGAAAUCAGAUGCCAUAUAUCUGCUAUUUAUUCUGAAAUAUUUUCUAGAAAUGCUUGCAAGAUUCAUGCAGGAAGUGCGAUCACUUUUAUGUAUACGGAAACAAGCAUCUAUACUCAGACUUGCAUUUCAAAGUUCAUGCAUAUAUGGUAUAUCAUGCCCAACUCAGUGUUAGCCUAGAUGCACAAAUAUAAUUGAUAAAUUAAAUAUUUUUAAUAUUCAAAAACAAUAAUUAAGAAGAAUAAACUAGCAAAUAAUUACACUACAAAAAAAUAUUAAUUUGCCGACUCUUCCCCGCCGACGCUAUCAAAAAGCGUCGGCGAAUUUCGAGCGGGGGUCGAAACUCGACGACGCUUUUUGAUAGGGUCGGGUGAAAUUUAGAGACGACAANNNNNNNNNNNNNNNNNNNNGAGUGGUAUCAGAGCCAGGUUAAGGUAUCCUAGGGUUUAGGUUCAGGUGAGUAUGAGUGGAGAAUUAUGAUAGGAAAACUAUCAGAGCCUUGGUUUAUAAACACCUGAGAUUGUAACAGAAAUGAUAUUAUAAUCAUAGGUUUAAGACCACUAGGGACUGUGGCCUUAGUAGCAUUAGAGUUUGAGGUUUAAGAUCAUUGGGAUUAGUGACGAAAUUAAACCAAAGCAUAAGAUUAAGAUCAUUUGGGGUUGCGGCAGAAAUGUAUUAUAGCUUAAGGUUAUGAUCACUUUGGACAUGAAGAAAGUAGUAGAAUUAAAUUCAAUGCUUAUGUAUAAGAUCACAAGGCAUUGUGAUAAAAUAUAUGUAUUGGGUUUGAUAUUCGACAAGUAUAGAAGGACUGGAUAAAUUGUCUUUGAUCAUGAUAAAAGAGGAUUAGACCUAAGGCAAGUAUAGGAAAGUUAGCCUUGGCAUAUCGGUUAUAUCAUGUUCAGAUGUUGGGUAGGUGACCUGAAAGUUCAAACAUAAAAUGGGUGUAGAUGUGAUAGCACCUUUGGUUUUGUUGGUAAUUAUUAGAGUAGAGUUUGUGCAUGGAUCUAUCAUAGCAUUGGAGUGAGCUAAGAACGAUUUUUCAUAAUAUUAAAGCAGAUUGUUGUUCGAGGUUAAAUCUGUAUAUGAGAUUAUAUUUGGUAUUGACAUGUUUGGAUAUUUUAAUAGGUGUAUUUCUAUUGGUGGGUUAAAUUCUUAAGGCUAGCAUGCAAAUUGGUGGAGAAUUCUAAUUACUUGAAUUUGUAUAUUCAGAUUAGGCUACUGAAUUUUUUUUUCAUAAUUGUUGGAGACUAUUGGAUGUGUUAACUUGAACACAAGUCUAGAUUUAUGAUCUAACCAGGAAUCUUUGUUAAAUACAAUAUUGGGUAGAGAUUUCGAUUUCGAGAUGCUUAUAUGAGUUAUCACAUGUAGCAUUGAUGUUAAACAUUAAGAAUCUUAGUGAAGAAAGAUUUGGAGGAUAAUGGAGUUAAUUCUACUCAUAGUAAUAUUGGCUCAAUGACUUCUAACCCAUUGAAUUUGAAAUAAAUCUUUUUUUUUGGAAAGAAGAUCAACGUAGAUUGUCUAAUCGAAUUGCUAAGGAAAUCCAAGGUUAACUUAUUUUAAAUUAAAUCUAGAUGUUUUGAAUUCUAAAAUGGUUGUGAAGAUUAUAUAGUAAUCUUAAACUUGAUUAAUGGCUUGAGGGUUAGUUAUGAUUAGUAUACUCUACAUAAAUUGAGGACAGAGAGAUCUGGAGGUUCUGCUCAAUUAAAGUUUUGAAAUUUAGAUUUUCUUACUCCCAGUGCAAAGUGAUAAUUCGGUCUUAAAUCAUUUAGAGGCUCUAGAGUAUUGAAUUCAAUCAGAGUACGCAGCAGAAGUGUGGUGGUUUGAGUUAUUUUGAAAUUGGUUAAGGACAUUAAUAUUUGAUCUAAAAGGUAUUAUGAUGGAACACUUGAGUUAGUUUCUAAUAGAGGAGAAUGUUGUUGAUUCUAUGGAUGAUCUAGAGGUAGCUAUGUAAUUUUCACCAGUGGUUCUUCCUUUGUUGACAACUUUUGGAAGAAACUUGGGCAUCUUAAAUUUAGCGUUAACGGUUGAUGAUUCCUUGGUUGGUCUUAGACUUGGAAUAUUUUAACAUGAAUCUUCUAUUUGUUGGGAUGAUGUGGGUAAGAGAAAAUCAUUAGGCUCAGAGAUAGUGCAACAGACCAUAUAUAAGGUGCAGGUGAUCAGAGAACGACUUCAUAUAGCUCAGAGUCGUCAAAAGAGUUAUGUUGAUAAUAGAAGGAGAGAACUGAAAUUUUAAUUGGAGAAUCAUGUUUUCUGGAGAGUAUCACCCACUAAAUUGAGCUCUAAGUAUGUUGGUCCGUUUGAGAUUUUGGAUAAGGUUGGAGAUGUGGCAUAUCGAAUGGCUUUACCACUGACUUUAUCUAGUGUGCACGAUGUAUUUUAUGAAGAAAUACAUCGCAGACCCGAGCUAUGUGGUAGCAUAUGAGCCAUUACAUCUACAUGAGGAUUUGACCUAUGAGGAGUUCCCAACACGAAUCAUGGACAGAAAAGAUCAGGUACUACGGCAUCGAACCAUUCCUUUUAUAAAGGUACAAUGAAACAAUCAUACGGAAAGAGAGGCUACUUGGGAGCUCGAAGAAGAGAUGAAGGUCAAGUAUCUGCAGUUAUUCGAAACCUCAGGUGUAUAAAUUUCGAGGACGAAAUUUUUUUUUAGGAGAGGAGAAUGUAAGGGCCCACAUCUUUUGGGGCUUGGGCUAGCCCGACACACCUGAAACGUGAGGGAGACUCCCGAAUAGAGAGUCUUCCCUCCCCUGUUUCUAUUGCUCCCAUGAAUCCACCGGAAGAGGAAACAAAGAAAAAAAAAAGAGAGAGGGAGACGGGAUCAAAUCCUACCUUAUUUGAAUCAAUUUACAUCUAUAAAAAAAGAAUCUCUUCCCCUCUUCCUUAGGGCAUCAACCGAGAGUCUUUCCACAAAAAAAAAGGGGAGAAAAGAGGGAUUUGGAGUUCUAGGCGAUCCGUGGGAGAAGCUCGGGUUGCUCGCCGUUGGACCAGCCGGAAAGGUUCGCCGGAGGCAAGGUGAGCACCCUCGCCUCCUUCUCCUUCGUCUUUAGCUAUUAUUUUCUUGGGGAUGUGGCCGGGAAGCCGCCGGGCUGAUGGGGAAAGCCGAGCCUCUGUUCGGCCUUCUUCCCUUCCGUUCCGGCUGGCCGUCGCCGGGCGUGGCACCACCAUGGGGCGUCGCCGGCCAUGGGCCGCCGGUUGCCAAGCACUCUCCUCCUUUCCGUCGGGAAGGAGGAAGGAAGAGAGAGAGAGAGAGAGAGCCAAUCUAUCUCGUCUUUGUUGUUUUAUUGACGGGAAGAAGAAGGAAGAGAGGGAGAGAGAGAGAGAGCCGACUCUCUCUCUUCUUUGUUAUUUUAUUUUCUCCCUCUAGUUGCUGUCUCUUAUUAGUCUAUUUUCUCUCUAGUUACUCUCUCUUAUUGCUAUGAUUUCUCUCUAGUUUAAUUUAGGGAGAUCAUGGACUGUUGGUUGGUCCUGGGGUGAUAGAUACUGGUGGAUCCUUUAGAGGAUCCAUAAAGAUUUUUGGGUUGCCAGAUAUUUUAGAUAAUUUUUAAUGAUGACUUGAUUCCGUAGGGGAACAAUUUGUUGGACGAAAGGACGCUGAGCAGGGUUCUGCAUAUCCGGAUUUAUAGAUCGCCGUGAGGGUGGGUGAUUAGUCUGUCCGAGUUAACAAAGGGUAAGAAUCCUUGUAUGCCAAUCCUACAUGAUAUAAAUAUUUUUGCACUAUAUAUGUUUGAUAUGCUAUGAUCCAGACAAAGCAAAAUAGUUUUAUAUUAAAUUAUAUUUUGAUCGUGUUGGCUUGUAAUUGGUAUUAUGAUGGAUGCAUGUAUGUGUAUAACCUAUACCUGCAUAAUUGGAUUUAUGGAUGUGGCGGUAUGGACUAAUCAUAUUAUAUUGAUUGCCCUGUCACGGGCUGGAAACGUGACCAUGGUUAGUCUCGGUCGGAAAUAAAGUGGAAAAGGGAAUGGAUGUGUGUUUGUGAAUUGAUUAAAUGAAUAGGAACUUUGGGCUUAUCUCGUUAUUAUUGAUUGCCCCAUCACAGGCUGGAAAUGUGAUAUUAUCGAUUGCCUCGUCACAGGCUGGAAAUGUGAUACUAUCGAUUGCCCCAUCACAGGCUGAAAAUGUGAUACCAUCGAUUGCCCCGUCACAGGCUGGAAAUGUGAUACUAUCGAUUGCCCCGUCACGGGCCGGAAACGUGACCGGGAUGUAGCCCAAAGUCGGAAAGAUAAUUGAUCCGGAUCAAGUUAAUAUAGAAUGGAAAGAAAAAGCAUUGAAAACAUUAAUGAAGAUUUAUGAGCUAUCGUAUGCUAUAUCAUUUUUGUGUGGUUGAACUUUCAUUGAUAUUUGAUGUACAUACUUAUUUGAGCCUUUUUGAUAGCCGGUUUAUGAUUUCAUGAAAUGUGAAUCGAUUUGUCGUGGCCUUCAAAUUCAUAUUAUUAUUGUGUUGGUUUGGAUGCGUAGGGAUUCUUACUGGGCUGUAAAGCUCACCCCCUCUUCUUCUUUUUCUUUACCAGAGUUACAUGAUGCAUUGAUUUGGACAGGAUGGGCGCAGAGUGCAAGUACCCGAGUCAUUAGUUAGUUGGUUUGUUUAUCUUUCUUUGAUGUUGAUGAACAUUUGAAGAUCUUGUAAUUGAACUAAUUUGUUUAUCUGGUGUGGACAUGUUGGAUUUGUCUAUUUGAAUUACUAAAUUAAUUGUGGAUUUAUUGAAAUUUUUGAUAAUCAUAGGCCUUGCAUGAUCUUUAGGGCACUGCUCUAGGGCUCAUGCGGCCGGUCGCGUGCCGGACCCGGGUGCUGGGUUCGGGGCGUGACAGAGUGGUAUCAGAGCCAG